AGCAAUACUUAUCCUCCACAUUUAAAUCUCGCUCGUCGAUUUCGCUGCGGUCAACAGGUUUAAUCAGCAAGGUAGCUCCGAGACGAGGUCACUAACCAAGCGUUAACUCCUUUAUUUCCGGAUACCGCCGGCUAUCCCUCCCCCACCACCUGGACAACGUACUAGCACCCGAAGGCGAAAGGAAAGGCACCCAUUUCCCGAACGAAGAAGGACCGAGCGGAGCUCAAAGCAACACAUACUGUCUCCUUCCCUGUGAGAAAGUUUCCCAGUGAUUUUGUGAAGAAAAAUUAGGCUAACUGUGUGCAGGAUAACUCUCUGAAAACUGAACAGAGUGGGAGGAAUUUGAUGUGGCAGGAGAAGAUGGAAAAAGAGAAGUUGAGUCUGAAAAUAGGCCAGAUCAGGCCAAUGGCUGCAGAGGAAAAAAAUCUGGAAAAAAAAUUCCACAAUGCCUUUCUGUGGGAGAUGCGGUUGAUCAGCAGCUCAGAAUGUUGUUGACUGUCCCAUUCUAAGCUCCCUGGUCACGUGACUCACAGUAGAGCAUACAUCUUGGGCACACGUAACGUGUGCACAUAUAAGCACACACAAACACACGUGCAACACAAGUCACCCCCCACACACAAAUAUACCACAUUUAUUUCAUUGGACAAAAUAUAAAACUGAUGCUUCCUAUGGCAACUGCUGGUAAAGGGGUUGGAAAGAAUUCUGGCAAUCAUUCUCUACAUGCUUCCCCUACAUUGUUUUCUGUUUGCUUUGGUUCUAAAUCUUUGUUCCUUUAUAUAUUACAGCACUUUUAAAAAAAGAAAGGAAGUGAUCCUGUAAUCCUGUAAUUCUUGACUUAAAGGGUUAAUUAAAAAAAUUAAACAAAUGGAAAUAAUCUCUAUACCAGCCACUUGGUGAGGACAGCAAAAUGCUAACAGGUAAGGAUAAAAAGGGAGAAUAACUGAACUUCUCCAAGUCUUCUCC
Long non-coding RNA from Candoia aspera, 963 nucleotides. RefSeq lists it as uncharacterized. The record is from RefSeq and is a predicted model, not a curated record. The transcript has 3 exons. NCBI's taxonomy places the organism in Eukaryota, Metazoa, Chordata, Lepidosauria, Squamata, Candoiidae.